GGCCGCAUUGUGUAGGAGUUAUCACGUCGGAUUCUGAUUCCGGAAACCUGGGUGCGAGUCCCAGUGUGGCCU
Molecule: transfer RNA, 72 nt
Organism: Lodderomyces elongisporus NRRL YB-4239
Lineage: Eukaryota; Fungi; Ascomycota; Pichiomycetes; Serinales; Debaryomycetaceae
Rfam family: tRNA
About the family: Transfer RNA (tRNA) molecules are approximately 80 nucleotides in length. Their secondary structure includes four short double-helical elements and three loops (D, anti-codon, and T loops).
Source: Rfam